CCUACGGGAGGCAGCAGUGAGGAAUAUUGGUCAAUGGGCGUAAGCCUGAACCAGCCAAGUCGCGUGAGGGAUGAAGGUUCUAUGGAUCGUAAACCUCUUUUAUAAGGGAAUAAAGUGUGGGACGUGUCCUGUUUUGUAUGUACCUUAUGAAUAAGGAUCGGCUAACUCCGUGCCAGCAGCCGCGGUAAUACGGAGGAUCCGAGCGUUAUCCGGAUUUAUUGGGUGUAAAGGGUGCGUAGGCGGCCCUUUAAGUCAGCGGUGAAAGUCUGUGGCUCAACCAUAGAAUUGCCGUUGAAACUGGGAGGCUUGAGUAUGUUUGAGGCAGGCGGAAUGCGUGGUGUAGCGGUGAAAUGCUUAGAUAUCACGCAGAACCCCGAUUGCGAAGGCAGCCUGCCAGGCCAUAACUGACGCUGAUGCACGAAAGCGUGGGGAUCAAACAGGAUUAGAUACCCUAGUAGUC
RNAcentral lists this ribosomal RNA (460 nucleotides) under uncultured bacterium. RNAcentral describes it as "partial 16S ribosomal RNA". It matches the Rfam family "Bacterial small subunit ribosomal RNA", at positions 338 to 795 of the family's 1533-position model. The record is from RNAcentral.